RNAcentral lists this ribosomal RNA (490 nucleotides) under uncultured bacterium. Its description in RNAcentral is "partial 16S ribosomal RNA". It matches the Rfam family "Bacterial small subunit ribosomal RNA", at positions 29 to 507 of the family's 1533-position model. The record is from RNAcentral.
AUUGAACGCUGGCGGCAUGCCUUACACAUGCCAGUCGAACGGCAUCGCGGGAAAGCUUGCUUUCCUGGCGGCGAGUGGCGAACGGGUGAGUAACACAUCGGAACGUACCGGCUAGGGGGGGAUAACCCGUCGAAAGACGGGCUAAUACCGCAUACGCUCUUCGGAGGAAAGCAGGGGACCUUUGGGCCUUGCGCUAGCCGAGCGGCCGAUGUCCGAUUGGCUAGUUGGUGGGGUAAAGGCCUACCAGGGCGACGAUCGGUAGCGGGUCUGAGAGGACGAUCGGCCACACUGGGACUGAGACACGGCCCAGACUCCUACGGGAGGCAGCAGUGGGGAAUCUUGGACAAUGGGGGCAAACCUGAUCCAGCAAUGCCGCGUGGGUGAAGAAGGCCUUCGGGUUGUAAAGACCGUUCGGCAGGGAAGAAAUCGGCGGGGCGAAUAACCCUGCUGGAUGACGGUACCUGCAGAAGAAGCACCGGCUAACUACGUG